UAACUGCGAGUGAAGCGGGAAAAGCUCAAAUUUGAAAUCUGGCGGUCUCUGGCCGUCCGAGUUGUAAUCUAGAGAAGUAAUGCCCGCGCUGGACCGUGUACAAGUCUCCUGGAAUGGAGCGUCAUAGAGGGUGAGAAUCCCGUCUCUGACACGGACUACCAGGGCUUUGUGGUAUGCUCUCAAAGAGUCGAGUUGUUUGGGAAUGCAGCUCUAAAUGGGUGGUAAAUUCCAUCUAAAGCUAAAUAUUGGCGAGAGACCGAUAGCGAACAAGUACCGUGAGGGAAAGAUGAAAAGAACUUUGGAAAGAGAGUUAAACAGUACGUGAAAUUGCUGAAAGGGAAACGCUUGAAGUCAGUCGCGUCGUCCAGGGAUCAGCCUCGCUCUUGCGUGGUGUACUUCCUGGUUGACGGGUCAGCAUCAAUUUUGACCGCUGGAAAAAGGCCUGGGGAAUGUGGCAGCUUCGGCUGUGUUAUAGCCCCUGGUCACAUACGGCGGUUGGGAUUGAGGAACUCAGCACGCCGCAAGGCCGGGUUUCGACCACGUUCGUGCUUAGGAUGCUGGCAUAAUGGCUUUAAGCGACCCGUCUUGAAACACGGACCAAGGAGUCUAACAUGCCUGCGAGUGUUUGGGUGGAAAACCCGAGCGCGUAAUGAAAGUGAAAGUUGAGAUCCCUGUCGUGGGGAGCAUCGACGCCCGGACCAGAACUUUUGGGACGGAUCCGCGGUAGAGCAUGUAUGUUGGGACCCGAAAGAUGGUGAACUAUGCCUGAAUAGGGUGAAGCCAGAGGAAACUCUGGUGGAGGCUCGUAGCGAUUCUGACGUGCAAAUCGAUCGUCAAAUUUGGGUA
Molecule: ribosomal RNA, 846 nt
Filed under: Chlorophyllum palaeotropicum
Lineage: Eukaryota; Fungi; Basidiomycota; Agaricomycetes; Agaricales; Agaricaceae
Description: eukaryotic LSU rRNA
Rfam family: Eukaryotic large subunit ribosomal RNA
Source: RNAcentral